AUGAAGUGGCGCCAAGCUUCUGGCAUUCUCUGUGACAAGAGAGUGCCACAAAAGCUAAAAGGCAAGUUCUACAGGGCGGCGGUUCGACCCGCAAUGUUGUAUGGCGCUGAGUGUUGGCCGACUAAAAGGCGACAUGUUCAACGGUUAGGUGUGGCGGAGAUGCGUAUGUUGAGAUGGAUGUGCGGCCACACGAGGAAGGAUCGAGUCUGGAAUGAUGAUAUACGAGAUAGAGUUGGGGUGGCACCAAUUGAAGAGAAUCUUGUCCAACAUCGUCUGAGAUGGUUUGGGCAUAUUCAGCGCAGGCCUCCAGAAGCUCCAAUGCAUGGCGGACGGCUAAAGCGGGCGCAGAAUGUCAAGAGAGGUCGGGGUAGACCGAAUUUGACAUGGUAG
RNAcentral lists this ribosomal RNA (390 nucleotides) under Triticum aestivum (bread wheat). RNAcentral's name for it is "partial small subunit ribosomal RNA". Lineage: Eukaryota; Viridiplantae; Streptophyta; Magnoliopsida; Poales; Poaceae. The record is from RNAcentral.